CCCAAACCAAUAAAGUUUUCUUUAUUGGGGUUGCGGACAUAUCAUAACGAAGAGGUAUCGUAAUUGAAGAGGUUUGGAAAGACCCACCACAGAAGGUAAUAGUCCUGUAUGUUAAACGAGAAGACUUCAGAUAUGAUCCAGAGUACCACGGGACACGUGAAACCCUGUGGGAAGCAGGAGGGACCACCCUCCAAGGCUAAAUACUACCUAGUGACCGAUAGCGUAUAGUACCGUGAGGGAAAGGUGAAAAGAACCCCGGGAGGGGAGUGAAAUAGAACCUGAAACCCUGCACUUACAAGCUGUGGAAGCACAUUUCUUGUGUGACCGCGUACUUUUUGUAGAACGGGCCAACGAGUUACGUUAAGUAGCAAGGUUAAGCACUUAAGGUGCGGAGCCAUAGCGAAAGCGAGUUUUAACUGAGCGUUCAGUUACUUGACGUAGACCCGAAACCGGGCGACCUACCCAUGAGCAGGAGGAAGCGAAAGUAAAAUUUCGUGGAGGUCCGAACCCACGAGCGUUGAAAAGCUCGGGGAUGACUUGUGGGUAGCGGUGAAAUUCCAAUCGAGCCCGGAGAUAGCUGGUUCUCCCCGAAAUAGCUUUAGGGCUAGCCUCAAGGUGAGAGAUACGGAGGUAGAGCACUGAAUGUCCUAGGGGGUAUUGCACCUACCGAAGACUAUCAAACUCCGAAUGCCGUCAUCUUAUACUUGGGAGUCAGACUGUUGGUGAUACGAUUCAUAGUCGAAAGGGCAACAGCCCAGAUCGUCAGCUAAGGUCCCUAAAUGUAAGUUAAGUGGUAAAGGAUGUGGGAUUGCACAGACAACCAGGAUGUUGGCUUAGAAGCAGCCACUCAUUCAAAGAGUGCGUAAUAGCUCACUGGUCGAGUGAUCCUGCGCCGAAGAUUUCCGGGGCUAAA
Molecule: ribosomal RNA, 913 nt
Filed under: Clostridioides difficile
Lineage: Bacteria; Bacillati; Bacillota; Clostridia; Peptostreptococcales; Peptostreptococcaceae
Description: bacterial LSU rRNA
Rfam family: Bacterial large subunit ribosomal RNA
Source: RNAcentral